This 284-nucleotide ribosomal RNA is filed under the name uncultured bacterium. Its description in RNAcentral is "partial 16S ribosomal RNA". It matches the Rfam family "Bacterial small subunit ribosomal RNA", at positions 223 to 507 of the family's 1533-position model. The record is from RNAcentral.
GAUGAAGCCUGCGGUCCAUUAGCUAGUUGGUAGAGUAACAGCCUACCAAGGCGACGAUGGAUAGCUGGUCUGAGAGGAUGAUCAGCCACACUGGAACUGAGACACGGUCCAGACUCCUACGGGAGGCAGCAGUAAGGAAUAUUGCUCAAUGGCCGAAAGGCUGAAGCAGCAACGCCGCGUGAAGGAUGAAUGGCCUUUGGCCUGUAAACUUCUGUAAAAGGGAAAACAGUCAGGUAUAUCCUGAUUUGAUUGUACCUUUGAAGUAAGCCCCGGCUAACUACGUG